RNAcentral lists this unclassified non-coding RNA (395 nucleotides) under soil metagenome. Its description in RNAcentral is "partial contains 5.8S ribosomal RNA, internal transcribed spacer 2, and large subunit ribosomal RNA". The stretch from base 1 to 120 matches the Rfam family "5.8S ribosomal RNA", at positions 35 to 154 of the family's 154-position model. The record is from RNAcentral.
GAUGAAGAACGUAGCGAAAUGCGAUAAGUAGUGUGAAUUGCAGAAUUCAGUGAAUCAUCGAAUCUUUGAACGCACAUUGCGCCUCCUGGCAUUCCGGGAGGCAUGCCUGUUCGAGCGUCAUCAAACCCCAUCGUGCAAAUGAAUUAUUUUUUUUGCGCGGAAGUGACGAUUGAGCGAGAAUAACAAAUCCUCUCGCACCUCGUCGAAAUGAUUGCGGGCGGAAUUUGGGAUCGGGUUCCUCGGCGUAGUGUAUCAAUGCAUAUUUAUGCAACUUGCCGCGGAGUUGAGCCUGACCCACGCGUUCUCGCCGUACAAACACCUCAUUACUUUACAAGUUUUUGACCUCGGAUCAGGUAGGGAUACCCGCUGAACUUAAGCAUAUCAAUAAGCGAGGA